RNAcentral lists this long non-coding RNA (3199 nucleotides) under Actinidia chinensis (golden kiwifruit). RNAcentral describes it as "long non-coding RNA (ACHI_LNC000287)". The record is from RNAcentral. Lineage: Eukaryota; Viridiplantae; Streptophyta; Magnoliopsida; Ericales; Actinidiaceae.
UCUUUCAAAUAUUGUUGAUUUGAAUUUUUGAGUAAUAAGUAGUGACUGUUUUGUAUUUGUAUUGUUUUGCGAGGACUAAUGCUAUUGACUUUGGUGUUUAACAUGAUCAAGCUCAAGUUACUUAGGUAUUAUUAGUUAAUGCCUUAUGUUGUAAUUUGUCUUUUUGAAAUUAUACUGAUUUAAAUUUUAAGUAAUGAGUAGUGACUAUUUUGCAUUUGUUUUGUUUUGCGAGGACUUAUGCUAUUGACUAAAGGACUCGAUUGGAUGUACCUCGUUAAUUGCGAUGCCUAUGCCUAGGUACUUUUAAAUACAUAUUUCCACACUUUUAAAUAUUGAGGUACGUAACAUUUGCUUUAAAUGUUGUAUAUGUAUCUUGGACCGUAAUUAACUUGAGUUUGAUGUAUCCCGGGUUCAACUUUAAGCUCAAGUAAAUUAGGUAUUAUUAGUUAACGCUUUAUAUGUUACUUUAUCUCUUUCAAAUAUUGUUGAUUUGAAUUUUUGAGUAAUAAGUAGUGACUGUUUUGUAUUUGUAUUGUUUUGCGAGGACUAAUGCUAUUGACUUUGGUGUUUAACGUGAUCAAGCUCAAGUUACUUAGGUAUUAUUAGUUAAUGCCUUAUGUUGUAAUUUGUCUUUUUUAAAUUAUACUGAUUUAAAUUUUAAGUAAUGAGUAGUGACUAUUUUGCAUUUGUUUUUUUUUGCGAGGACUUAUGCUAUUGACUAAAGGACUCGAUUGGAUGUACCUCGUUAAUUGCGAUGCCUAUGCCUAGGUACUUUCAAAUAUAUAUUUUCACACUUUUAAAUAUUGACUUACGGAACAUUUUGCUUAAAUGUUAGAUGUAUUUUGGACCGUAAUUAACUUGGUUUGAAUUCCCCGGGUUCAACUUUAAGCUCAAGUACAUUAGGUAUUAUUAGUUACGCCUUAUGUGUUACUUUAUCUGUUUUAAAUAUUUUGAUUAUAUUUUUUGAGUAAUAAGUAAGUUACUGUUUUGUAUUUGUAUUGUUUUUGCGAGACUAAUUCUAUUGUCCUUUGGUGUUUAAUAUGAAUCAUGCUCAAGUUAAUUAGGUCUUAUUUGUUAAUGUUCCUUAUGUUUGUAUUCUCUCUUGAAAUUGACUUAUUUAAUUUUAAGUAAUGAGUGAGUGCUAUUUUGCAUUUGUUUUGUUUUGCGAGAAUUUAUGCUAUUACUAAAUGACUCGAUUGGAUGUACCUCUUAAUGCAUGCCUAUGCCUAGGUACUUUCAAAUACAUUUUUCUACAGCCUUUACUUAUUGAGGUACGUGACCAUUUGGCUUUAAAUGUUGUUUGAUCUUGGACUGUAAUUAACUUGAGUUUGAUUAUCCCGGUUUCAACUUAAGCUCAAGUAAUAGGUAUUAUUAGUUAACGCCUUUAUGUGUUACUUUAUCUCUUUCAAAUAUUGUUUGAUUUGAUUUUUGAGUAAUAAGUAGUGACUUUUUGUCUUUGUAUGUUUGGGGGCUAGGACUAUUGCUAUGACUUUGGUGUUUAAAUUAUCAGCUCAAGUUACUUAGUAUUCUUAGUUAAUGCCUUCUGUUGGUAAUUUGUCUUUUUUAAAUUAUACUGAUUUAAAUUUUAAUUAUGAGUAGUGACUAUUUUGCAUUUGUUUUGUUUUGCGAGGACUUAUGCUAUUGACUAAGGACUGCGAUUGGAAUGUACCCGUAAGUUGCGAUCCAUGCCUAGGUACUUUCAAAUAAUAUUUCCACAUUUUUAAAUAUUGAGGUAACUAACAUUUGCUUUAAUGUUUGUAUCUGUAUCUUGGACCGUAACUAACUUGAGUUUGAACUUCCCUGGGUUCCACUUUAACUCAAGUAAAUUAGGUAUUAUUAGUUAACGCUUUUGUGUUACUUUAUCUCUUUCAUAAUGUUGAUUUGAUUUUUGAGUAAUAAGUAGUGACUGUUUUGUAGUUUUAUAUUGUUUUUGCGUGAGGACGGGAAUAUAUUGACUUGGUGUUUAACAUGAUCAAGCUCAAGUUACUUAGGUAUUUAUUAGUUAAUGCCUUAUGUUUAAUUUGUCUGUUUGAAAUUAUACUGAUUUAAAUUUUAAGUAAUGAUAUGACUAUUUUGCAAUUUGUUUUGUUUUGUGAGGACUUCUGGUAUUGACCAAGGACUCGUUGGUGUACCUCGUUAAUUGCGAUGCCUAUGCCAAGUACUUUCAAUACAUAUUCGACACCUUUAAAUAUUGAGGUACCGUAACAUUUGCGUUAAAUGUUUUGUAUGUUUAAUCUUAGCCCGUAAAUUACUUGAGUUUGAAGUUCCUCGGGUUCACUUUAAAGCUCAAUGUAAAAUAGGUAUUGUUAGUUACCGCCUUUGUUGUACUUUAUCUUCUUCAAAUCAUGUUGAUUUGAAUUUUUUGCGUAGAAGUAGUGACUGUUUUGUAGUUCUAUUGUUUUGCGAGGACGAAUGCUAUUGAAUUUGUGUUUAACAGAUCAAGCUCAAGUUACUAGGUAUUAUAUUGAAUGCCUUUGUUGUAAUUUGUCUUUUUGAAAUUAUACUGAUUUAAAAUUUUUAAGUAAUGAGUAGUGGCUAUUUGCAUUGGUUUGUUUUGCGAGGACGUAUGCUAUUGACUAAAGGACUCGAUUGGUGUACCUCGUUAAUUGGCGAUGCCUAUGCCUAGGUUACUUUCAAAACAUUUUUGCACACUUUUAAAUAUUGAGGUACGUAACAUUUUGGGUCUUUUAAAUGUUGCAAUGAAUCUUGGACGUAAUUACUUGAUUUUGAACUUCCCCGGAUUCAACUUUAGCGCAAGCAAAUUUAGUAUUAUUAGUUAACGCUUUUGUGGUUACUUUUAUCUGUUUUAAAUAAGUUGAUUUAUAUUUUUGCGUAAUAAGUAGUUACUGUUUUGUUAUGGUAUUGUUUUGCGAGGACUAUGCUAUUGCUUUGGUGUUUAACAUGAUCAAGCACAAGUUCUUAGGUAUUUUAUUAAUGCCUUAUGUUGUAAUUGUCUUUUUGACAUUGUACUGAUUUAAAUUUAAGUAUGAGUAGUGACUAUUUUGCAUUUGUUUGUUUUGCGAGGACUUAUGCGAUUGACUAAAGGACUCGAUUGGAUGUACCUCGUUAAUUGCGAUGCCUAUGCCUAGGUACUUUCAAAUACAUAUUUCCACACUUUUAAAUAUUGAGGUACGUAACAUUUGCUUUAAAUGUUGUAUAUGUACUUGGACCGUAAUUAACUUGAGUUUGAUGUUUCCCG